RNAcentral lists this ribosomal RNA (567 nucleotides) under Ligilactobacillus salivarius. RNAcentral describes it as "bacterial SSU rRNA". It matches the Rfam family "Bacterial small subunit ribosomal RNA", at positions 72 to 619 of the family's 1533-position model. Lineage: Bacteria; Bacillati; Bacillota; Bacilli; Lactobacillales; Lactobacillaceae. The record is from RNAcentral.
UGCUUGCAUUCACCGUAAGAAGUUGAGUGGCGGACGGGUGAGUAACACGUGGGUAACCUGCCUAAAAGAAGGGGAUAACACUUGGAAACAGGUGCUAAUACCGUAUAUCUCUAAGGAUCGCAUGAUCCUUAGAUGAAAGAUGGUUCUGCUAUCGCUUUUAGAUGGACCCGCGGCGUAUUAACUAGUUGGUGGGGUAACGGCCUACCAAGGUGAUGAUACGUAGCCGAACUGAGAGGUUGAUCGGCCACAUUGGGACUGAGACACGGCCCAAACUCCUACGGGAGGCAGCAGUAGGGAAUCUUCCACAAUGGACGCAAGUCUGAUGGAGCAACGCCGCGUGAGUGAAGAAGGUCUUCGGAUCGUAAAACUCUGUUGUUAGAGAAGAACACGAGUGAGAGUAACUGUUCAUUACGAUGACGGUAUCUAACCAGCAAGUCACGGCUAACUACGUGCCAGCAGCCGCGGUAAUACGUAGGUGGCAAGCGUUGUCCGGAUUUAUUGGGCGUAAAGGGAACGCAGGCGGUCUUUUAAGUCUUGAUGUGAAAGCCCUCCGGCUUUAACCGGGAG